Molecule: ribosomal RNA, 429 nt
Filed under: Bacillota bacterium
Lineage: Bacteria; Bacillati; Bacillota
Description: Firmicutes bacterium partial 16S ribosomal RNA
Rfam family: Bacterial small subunit ribosomal RNA
Source: RNAcentral
UGGGGAAUUUUGGACAAUGGGGGCAACCCUGAUCCAGCAAUGCCGCGUGUGUGAAGAAGGCCUUCGGGUUGUAAAGCACUUUUGUCCGGGAAGAAAUCGCACCUGAUAAUACCGGGUGUGGAUGACGGUACCGGAAGAAUAAGGACCGGCUAACUACGUGCCAGCAGCCGCGGUAAUACGUAGGGUCCAAGCGUUAAUCGGAAUUACUGGGCGUAAAGCGUGCGCAGGCGGUUGUGCAAGACCGAUGUGAAAUCCCCGGGCUUAACCUGGGAAUUGCAGUGGUGACUGCACGGCUAGGGUGUGUCAGAGGGGGGUAGAAUUCCACGUGUAGCAGUGAAAUGCGUAGAGAUGUGGAGGAAUACCGAUGGCGAAGGCAGCCCCCUGGGAUAACACUGACGCUCAUGCACGAAAGCGUGGGGAGCAAACAGG